This 279-nucleotide ribosomal RNA is filed under the name uncultured bacterium. RNAcentral describes it as "partial 16S ribosomal RNA". It matches the Rfam family "Bacterial small subunit ribosomal RNA", at positions 506 to 784 of the family's 1533-position model. The record is from RNAcentral.
UGCCAGCAGCCGCGGUAAUACGGAGGGUGCAAGCGUUAAUCGGAAUUACUGGGCGUAAAGCGUGCGUAGGCGGUUUGUUAAGUGAGAUGUGAAAGCCCCGGGCUCAACCUGGGAACUGCAUCUCGAACUGGCUAACUAGAGUGCGGUAGAGGGGAGUGGAAUUUCCUGUGUAGCGGUGAAAUGCGUAGAUAUAGGAAGGAACACCAGUGGCGAAGGCGACUCCCUGGACUGACACUGACGCUGAGGUACGAAAGCGUGGGGAGCAAACGGGAUUAGAUA